AGAGUUUGAUCAUGGCUCAGAACGAACGUUAGCGGCGCGCCUAACACAUGCAAGUCGCACGAGAAAGGGCUUCGGCCCCGGUAAAGUGGCGCACGGGUGAGUAACACGUAGGUAAUCUUCCCUCGAGUGGUGGAUAACCCUCCGAAAGGAGGGCUAAUACAGCAUGAGACCACGGCUUCUUCGGAAGCUGAGGCCAAAGCGGGCCUCUUAAUUAAAGCUCGCGCUUGAGGAUGAGCCUGCGGCCCAUCAGCUAGUUGGCGGUGUAACGGACCACCAAGGCAUAGACGGGUAGCUGGUCUGAGAGGAUGAACAGCCACACUGGAACUGAGACACGGUCCAGACUCCUACGGGAGGCAGCAGUGGGGAAUCUUGCGCAAUGGGCGAAAGCCUGACGCAGCGACGCCGCGUGAGUGAUGAAGGCCCUCGGGUUGUAAAGCUCUGUGGGGAGAGACGAAUAAGGGCCGGCUAAUACCCGGCUCGAUGACGGUAUCUCCUUAGCAAGCACCGGCUAACUCUGUGCCAGCAGCCGCGGUAAGACAGAGGGUGCAAACGUUGUUCGGAAUUACUGGGCGUAAAGCGCGUGUAGGCGGCAGGGUGUGUCGGAUGUGAAAUCCCGUGGCUCAACCACGGAAGUGCACCCGAAACUACCCAGCUCGAGUCUCGGAGAGGAAGGUGGAAUGCUUGGUGUAGAGGUGAAAUUCGUAGAUAUCAAGCGGAACACCGGUGGCGAAGGCGGCCUUCUGGACGAUGACUGACGCUGAGACGCGAAAGCGUGGGGAGCAAACAGGAUUAGAUACCCUAGUAGUCC
This 808-nucleotide ribosomal RNA is filed under the name uncultured bacterium. RNAcentral describes it as "bacterial SSU rRNA". It matches the Rfam family "Bacterial small subunit ribosomal RNA", at positions 8 to 796 of the family's 1533-position model. The record is from RNAcentral.